Molecule: long non-coding RNA, 663 nt
Filed under: Homo sapiens (human)
Lineage: Eukaryota; Metazoa; Chordata; Mammalia; Primates; Hominidae
Description: HSALNT0383562
Source: RNAcentral
CUCGAUCUCCUGUCUUCGUGAUCUGCCCGCCUCGACCUCCCAAAGUGCUGGGAUUACAAACGCAUGUGCUUUUGCAGGAAGGACGCUGGACUCUUGCACUAUAAGUUGAAAACAUCGCUUAUAAACAAUACAUCACAGCACACUUGCAGAGAGAGCACUGGUUCAUCAAAAUAAGAUAUGAUCAAGGUACAAAAGAGUUAAAGAAGCUAUUUAUUUUAAUGUUUCCUUGGAGAGCACACUUGUUAUUAUGCCUGCCCCAGCUUUGCCUUCCACCAUGAGUAAAAGCUUCCCAAGUCCUCCCCAGAAGCAGAUGCUGGCGCUAUGCUUCUGGUACAGCCUGAAAAACCUUGAGCCAAUUAAACCUCAGUGAGCUCAAGAUGUCUUUGUUGAAACAGAACCUCCCGAAGUUACAGUAUUGGUUUUGGGGCUCCACACAGAGAACACAUCACGGAAGCUAUAAUUGAGGAAGACAAAGCUGUCAGGACGACACCAAGAGAGUUAGAAAGCCCAAGAGUGGAGCAUUCUUCACCAUGAUUCCACCUGACACUUGGCUGAAAGCAUUUUGCACUAAUUUGCUUUGUGCCCGUUCAGACAAUCUAAAAAGAAAGGAUGGGGGGACAACAAGUGUCUAUUACACAGAAUAAACAGCCUCUGGCAAAUGAA